Molecule: ribosomal RNA, 466 nt
Filed under: uncultured bacterium
Lineage: Bacteria
Description: bacterial SSU rRNA
Rfam family: Bacterial small subunit ribosomal RNA
Source: RNAcentral
CCUACGGGAUGCACCAGUAGGGAAUCUUCCGCAAUGGACGAAAGUCUGACGGAGUAACGCCGCGUGAGUGAUGAAGGCUUUCGGGUCGUAAAACUCUGUUGUUAGGGAAGAACAAGUGCUAGUUGAAUAAGCUGGCACCUUGACGGUACCUAACCAGAAAGCCACGGCUAACUACGUGCCAGCAGCCGCGGUAAUACGUAGGUGGCAAGCGUUAUCCGGAAUUAUUGGGCGUAAAGCGCGCGCAGGUGGUUUCUUAAGUCUGAUGUGAAAGCCCACGGCUCAACCGUGGAGGGUCAUUGGAAACUGGGAGACUUGAGUGCAGAAGAGGAAAGUGGAAUUCCAUGUGUAGCGGUGAAAUGCGUAGAGAUAUGAAGGAACACCAGUGGCGAAGGCGGCCAACUGGCUCGAUACUGACGCUGAGGUGCGAAAGCGUGGGGAGCAAACAGGAUUAGAUACCCCAGUAGUC